AUGUUUCCAUAUCAGGGACCGUUUCUUUUAUGCAGCAGGAGCUCCCCGGCUAAUUCUGUUGCACAGCACAAGCACUGUUUUGUGCUGUUGUUUCUGAAAGAGCUGCCUUUCGGGCCCACUAAUUCUCUGUCCCCCAUCGCAUCGCUGGACCAGCCCCGUGCCGCUGCUUGCGGGGACCAGAGGGCAGGACCGUGCUCAGGGGAGGGAACAAACCCCGCCGUGUGCCACGGGCACAGAGGCUGCGAGCAUCUGCACCGGGGCAGCAGGAGGAGGUCGCUGGGUGCUGCUGGGUCCCUGCCCCUGCGGGGCCACCAGCACCCGUAUCUUGUGGUGCUGCCACAGCCCAGGCUCACGGGGUCAGGCUGGGAGGUUUACGGGGAGUUUUGCUCUUGGUUGGCUCUGGGAGACAGGGUUAGAGCUUUCAGCAGGCAGCGCUCAUCCUGCUGCUCCCCCCCCCAGCCUUGUUUUGGCCCAGGCAGCAGCUUCAGCUCCUCCGCACAAGGAUUUGCCAGCGCUCCCCGAAUCGCCCCGACACCGCUCCCGGUGCCUGCGUGCCCGCACCGGCUGCGGGUGUUAAAAUCCCCGCCUAGCUGCGAGCCCGGUCUGCGGCACGGAGCUGGGGCUGUGAGCGCCAGCUGGGUCGCUGUGCAGAGACAAACUGGCUGCCGGGGGCACCAUUUGCAUGAUUUCUGUUGUGGGGCUCAGGUGCAGCUUUGUGAGGCCGGGUUAGAGCUGCUCGGGGCCCGUGCCGCAGACACGUCUCUUCUGGGGCACGAUCCGCCGCCAUCGGCUCUGCAAGCAUCAUCCCACGAGCAAGGGAUUCCCCCAUGGCUUUUCCUAUUCCUCCCGCUGCAGAAAAGACGGAAUAAGGUGGAGGAGAUCAGGAGAUCAGUGGCUCUCGGUCAGGACAUCUUGAGCUCCAUCGUGCAGCCGAGUGUGGCGAGGGUCCCGCUCGGGGUUCGCCCCUUGCACGACUCGGGCAGUGCAGCCGGGACUGCUGGCCAUAGCACGCCAUCCUGCCAGGCCCUGGGUCUCCCCUCCCACUGCCCAGGCUCCUGA
RNAcentral lists this long non-coding RNA (1059 nucleotides) under Anser cygnoides (Swan goose). Its description in RNAcentral is "lncRNA (ENSACDG00005015097.1)". Lineage: Eukaryota; Metazoa; Chordata; Aves; Anseriformes; Anatidae. The record is from RNAcentral.